AUACUUUUCUCGACCUUUUGACAAAGAUCAAAUGUAGUAUCUGUUUUUAUUAAUUUAAUAUCUGAUAUGUGGAUCAUGUGCCCACAAUAAUAUUAAAUUUAUUUUUUAUGGAGGAGAGCCCAUCAUAGUGGCAACACCAUCCUCCUUGGUACGCCUGCUACACCACUU
Hordeum vulgare subsp. vulgare (domesticated barley) is the source of this 168-nucleotide non-coding RNA. NCBI's taxonomy places the organism in Eukaryota, Viridiplantae, Streptophyta, Magnoliopsida, Poales, Poaceae. The record is from Rfam.